This 109-nucleotide small RNA is filed under the name Klebsiella pneumoniae. RNAcentral describes it as "partial RtT sRNA". It matches the Rfam family "RtT RNA", at positions 23 to 130 of the family's 130-position model. Rfam says of the family: This family represents a bacterial cis-regulatory element known as RtT RNA. The exact function of RtT is unknown although it is thought that it may be involved in changing the cellular response in relation to amino acid starvation. The record is from RNAcentral. Lineage: Bacteria; Pseudomonadati; Pseudomonadota; Gammaproteobacteria; Enterobacterales; Enterobacteriaceae.
UGAGAAGCUUCGACUAAGGUUCGACUCGAGCGAAGUGAGAGAACGUUGCCGCAGGCAACGGCCCGAAGGCGAGGCGCUUUAGCGCCGAGUAAUCCUUCCCCCACCACUG